UACGGGGGGGGCAAGCGUUGUUCGGAAUUACUGGGCGUAAAGGGCUCGUAGGCGGCCAACUAAGUCGGAUGUGAAAUCCCCAGGCUCAACCUGGGAACUGCAUCCGAUACUGGAUGGCUUGAAUCCGGGAGAGGGAUGCAGAAUUCCAGGUGUAGCGGUGAAAUGCGUAGAUAUCUGGAGGAAUACCGGUGGCGAAGGCGGGAUCCUGGACCGGCAUUGACGCUGAGGCGCGAAAGCCAGGGGAGCAAACGGG
RNAcentral lists this ribosomal RNA (253 nucleotides) under uncultured bacterium. Its description in RNAcentral is "partial 16S ribosomal RNA". It matches the Rfam family "Bacterial small subunit ribosomal RNA", at positions 524 to 776 of the family's 1533-position model. The record is from RNAcentral.